GGUAUCUUCUUGGCCAACUCUGCAAGGAAUGGAGCAAUGAACUUGCAGGGACCACACCAGGAAGCAGUAAAGUCCACAACUAACAGUUUUUUGUUAUCAAUUCCCUUUUGGAGAUGCUGGUGCCAUUCAUCAACGGUGUGGACGCCAAAGACUUGUCCCCCCUCUGCCAUUUCUCUGAGUUGUUCUUUUUCUCUAUCGGCUUCGCAAAA
RNAcentral lists this unclassified non-coding RNA (209 nucleotides) under Hevea brasiliensis (rubber tree). Lineage: Eukaryota; Viridiplantae; Streptophyta; Magnoliopsida; Malpighiales; Euphorbiaceae. The record is from RNAcentral.